GGAGGAUUGGCGCGAUCGAAGGGGGAGGACCGCCACCGCUCAGCUUAGCUGUUCCACGAGAGGGGAUGACCUACUUACGGAACCAGGUAAAAAGUACCGGCGAAAAAUGGCGACCGAUUGGCGGUGGCGGCGCUGCUUACUGAUUGUGAACGAGCCAAUGUGGGGGAGGGGUUUCGAGACGAAAACGAAAGGAAUACGAUCGGAACGUACGAAAGGGACGACGGAAGAAGGAACGAAAGAAAGUGAAAGCCAUGACCCAGAAACGCAAAGCAUCGAAGGCUCUUCGUCGCGUUGUCGUAUUUUAUAUCGUUGUAUUUCAGAAAAGAAUCAUUCGAAUUGAUCGAGAAUAAUCUAAGAAUGAUCUAUCCAGUUCUUAUAUCUUUCUCACCCAUUUGACGACAAAUACGACGAUUAUUCGAAAAUGUUCACUCCAAUAAGUUCUAUUAUUAUUAUUAUUAUUACUACUACUACUACUACCACUAUUUCUUCUUCUUCUGCUCUAAGAAAUAUGACGAAUAGCGAUCAAUAAAAAAUCAAAGACACAAA
Molecule: long non-coding RNA, 546 nt
Filed under: Polistes fuscatus (common paper wasp)
Lineage: Eukaryota; Metazoa; Arthropoda; Insecta; Hymenoptera; Vespidae
Description: uncharacterized LOC122525623
Source: RNAcentral